Molecule: long non-coding RNA, 642 nt
Organism: Triplophysa rosa
Lineage: Eukaryota; Metazoa; Chordata; Actinopteri; Cypriniformes; Nemacheilidae
Exons: 3
Source: RefSeq, a predicted model, not a curated record
GGAGAACACAAAUCGGUCCUUUCAGUCCUACAGACUCUCUUGUCUGAUACAGUGCGGAGAUGAUCUACUUGCAGGCAAUGAUCUAGCUGAAAACGGACUGGAACAAUUCCAGAACGCUCUCACUAGAUGACUGUCCACAGGUUGAGACCUCACGCUGCCAAAGGAUGGCUUUGGCAUUUUGCCUAACGCUUGCAUUUUAUUUUUUUUGUUUGGAGGAGAGGAGGAGUCUCCCACGGGACUCAGCACUGGGGUCCAUUGCCCUGCUCCAGUGGCUCGUGAGGGGUUUUCAUUCAGAAACCUUCAUCAGUCCUCUGGUUGGGGUCCAGUGGACCUGUAGUGUACGGCACCAGAUCCAUGGGCUGCUGAUGAAGCACCAGAAACUAGAAGCAACCUAAGAAACUCCUACAACCACAACAUAAGCAACAUGACGCUUAAAGACACAUGAAGUCGACUACUUUUCCCUUACCCUUACCUUUUUCUAUGGUCGGCUUCUGGUCGUCUGUUGCUUGGUUGGCAGGUCAUGAGGAUGGCCUGCUGUGAAAUGACCUAUUUUUAUUUUUAUUUUUUUAAAGGCUGAGUGCAAAUUUCAAAAAUAAAUACAGAAAAUAAUAAAAACAGAAAAAUGUGUUAAACUGAAACAAA